Physcomitrium patens is the source of this 2679-nucleotide non-coding RNA. The record is from RefSeq and is a predicted model, not a curated record. Lineage: Eukaryota; Viridiplantae; Streptophyta; Bryopsida; Funariales; Funariaceae.
GUGUCUGACCCUACGAAUAGUGAUGUUUUCGGAGGACGAUGGAUAUGGCUGAAUGCGAGACGAGUUAUGAGAGGAGUUGCCGGUUGGAGAGAGUCAGUAGUCGUUGCGCAGUGCGCGUCCCAUUGAAGCUCCACCUCCAAUCCUCAUUUUCCCUCUGUCAUGAAUAGGCCCGAGUGAGAAUUUAUACCGUUUCGCUCGAUCGAAUGAGCUGGAUUGUGUUGAAACUUUUCUCUGUUGCUGAAAUUUCCAACGAUGUCAUACUCUAACCGUUGCUUUGAUUCCAUUUGAGUUCGUUGGUUUGGUGAUGUUAACACGAGGUCGUACGCCAAGCAGACCUGAAGUAUUCUAUCUUCCGAGCGGGAAUGGAUCGCGAUGCUGGAGUCUACUUACCUGCACGUUCGUGUAUUGAGUUGCUGUUUGCAAAAGCAGAAAUGUGAUCGAAAGGUUCUUAGCAAUGGUUGAAUCAAUUAAUUCUUUACAUAUACCAUCCAAAAUGAAUAUAUAUAUAUAUAUAUAUAUAUAUAUAUAAAAGUAUAUUUAUAUUUUCCAACUUGUUGAGAAACUUUAAAAAUUUUCUACCGCUAAGGUGCUUCGCAACGGCGGGCAAUUAAAGUCGUGGAUGAUCCAGUGGUGUGCCUCCAGAGGUCUUUGCUCGGGUCGUGGCUCCGUUAGAGCUCUAGAACUGUAAGGAUUAAUUUGUACGUCGGCUGGAAACUUAAUUCGCAAGGGAAGAUCUGAAAGUAUACGAUUCGCUGUCGGGACGGAUUGUAACCCUGUUCUCGUCAAGAGAAAUGAGUUGGCGCAGGCUUUUGAAGUUGCUGAGGAUGGGUUAGACUAUGAUGGUAUUGGGGAGGGCGAAGACUAGACUGUGGACGUGUCUAGUGUAGUGGAUGAAGGAAGCACACGUACAAUUGAGACAUUGGAGCUCAUAUAUUUGUGCUGCCGCUUUCAAAUACUAUUGCAAACUCUACUUUUACGUUUGUAGUGAAUCAACUUUGCAGGGAGAUCACGUGUAAGAUUCCGCUGAAUACAUUGCGUCAUCCAAUCCGAAGCACAUGCUUUGCACUGAUAAGAGGUAAAGAAACAUUCACCACACAGGAAGGCAGCUGCAAUGUCAGCUGCCACAACCUUGGUACGAAAACUACUUGCCAAACUACUUUGUAUUAGUACGCGAUAGUCAAGUCUACGGAUUUGGUGUUCCUGGCCGGAGUGCAUUAACGCCAACUAUUAUUGUAGAGGUUGAACAGUUAGAUCAGCCAGGCGACUAUACUACUUAUUAAGCUAAGCUUCAAGUAUAAAUCAUUCUUCCCUGAAUGUGUGUGCAAAUGUGAUUUGGAUUCAUUAUAUACUCGACGAGUAUGUGGUUUCAUGAAGCAGUUCCAGUCUGUGGUUACAAUCUUUCUGGUCUAUCAAAUCCGUACCAGUUGCUUUAUACUACCGAGAAAGGUAUCACUAGGGAUAUGCAAUGAUGCUGACAGUGUAGUUUAGUUGAUUGGCCACUUGCAGUGACAGAUGUCUGUCGAACCUGUUGAUGUUUAAAUUGCAUCAACUCGAUGCGGAUGGACCUGUGGGCUAGCAUAUCUCGGUUUGACCUUGAUAUUUUUCUCCAUCGCUUGCAGGCGUUUAAUCUGUCAGAAGCAUAAUGGCCAGCAACAUGUUGUCGAAGAUUGGAAGAGUACAAUGCUCCGUGAUGCUAUACCUCAUUGGGAGAGUACCAACCUUUGGCUUCAGUGCAAGUUCAGGAGCUACGACUUUCAUUGCUGGCUGUCUCCUUUGUGAUACGUACUUGUUCUCUCGCGAGUUGCUGAAAGAGGUUACCUACUAUCCUUGUGUUCAUCAUGUGGUACUUGGCUUAUCUGUAAAUGAUUUCUUUUUGUUGGCGGGGACUGCUGGAUGGGUUGCUAAUGAUGUGAUGAGCUAUCAAACAUUACAAAAGCCCCACGCUGCGAUGUAAGAUUGAUGAGAGAUUGAGUAGGUUUAUCCCAUAUCGCUCCAAGCUUUAAUAUUCUUUCUUGUACUGUGUUGAUGGCUUUUGUGAUGACACAAAGAUACAAAUUCAUGUGAAUUUGAGCAGAAUGUUGCUUGGUCUUUUUGAUAAUGACUUUGUCAUGAAUGUACGAGUAAGCUAGUCUUUGGCUUAGCUAGCGAAAAGCCAACAUCCAUAGAGGUAGUAGUUAAUUCCUUCACGAAUUCCUUUAAUCACUGUUUGCGUCUGCUGAACACUGCUGUAUUGUGAAGUAUUUGAAGCCCAACCCAGAACCAUGACGGUGAUCCGUGUCAGUCUCUGAAUUGGACAUUGUCAUCAUUCCAUUUGAAGUUUAUUCCAUGUGUGCAGUCUAGCGAGGCACAUAAUUCCUAACAGCUGAUUCCAUUUAACCACUUAGUGGAUGCCUUGUGUGUAACAAGGUAAAAUCAUUUUCUCACUUCCACAAUGCUCUCAUAAGUCCGUGUGUAGAUCAGAAGCGUGGAGGUAUGAUAUUUUCCAGGUUAUUGUCUACAUCGUAGUGAGUAGUGUGCAUUUUCUUCAUGUGGAAAAUGUGAGUUUUGCCCAUCAUGUCGGGGAACAAGUUUUGUUACUAACAGAAAGACAUCCGACCUUGUUCUCUUUCCUCAUGUUGUAAGAUGAAGUGUUCCAUGAAUGUGUGUAAAGUAUCAGCGCCUACGUGGAACUUGCGUUCA